GGAAUAUUGGACAAUGGGCGCAAGCCUGAUCCAGCCAUGCCGCGUGCAGGAUGACGGUCCUAUGGAUUGUAAACUGCUUUUAUACAGGAAGAAACACUGGUUCGUGAACCAGCUUGACGGUACUGUAAGAAUAAGGAUCGGCUAACUCCGUGCCAGCAGCCGCGGUAAUACGGAGGAUCCAAGCGUUAUCCGGAAUCAUUGGGUUUAAAGGGUCCGUAGGCGGUUUAAUAAGUCAGUGGUGAAAGCCCAUCGCUCAACGGUGGAACGGCCAUUGAUACUGUUAGACUUGAAUUAUUAGGAAGUAACUAGAAUAUGUAGUGUAGCGGUGAAAUGCUUAGAGAUUACAUGGAAUACCAAUUGCGAAGGCAGGUUACUACUAAUUGAUUGACGCUGAUGGACGAAAGCGUGGGUAGCGAACAGGAUUAGAUACCCCUG
RNAcentral lists this ribosomal RNA (435 nucleotides) under uncultured Flavobacterium sp. Its description in RNAcentral is "bacterial SSU rRNA". It matches the Rfam family "Bacterial small subunit ribosomal RNA", at positions 358 to 789 of the family's 1533-position model. Lineage: Bacteria; Pseudomonadati; Bacteroidota; Flavobacteriia; Flavobacteriales; Flavobacteriaceae. The record is from RNAcentral.